Molecule: ribosomal RNA, 303 nt
Filed under: uncultured bacterium
Lineage: Bacteria
Description: partial 16S ribosomal RNA
Rfam family: Bacterial small subunit ribosomal RNA
Source: RNAcentral
AGCAGUAGCCGCGGGAAUACGGAGGGUGCAAGCGUUAAUCGGAAUUACUGGGCGUAAAGCGCACGCAGGCGGUCUGACAAGUCAGAUGUGAAAUCCCCGGGCUUAACCUGGGAACUGCAUUUGAAACUGUCAGGCUGGAGUCUUGUAGAGGGGGGUAGAAUUCCAGGUGUAGCGGUGAAAUGCGUAGAGAUCUGGAGGAAUACCGGUGGCGAAGGCGGCCCCCUGGACAAAGACUGACGCUCAGGUGCGAAAGCGUGGGGAGCAAACAGGAUUAGAUACCCGAGUAGUCCCUGUCUCUUAUAC